UUUUAUUUGAGAGUUUGAUCCUGGCUCAGGAUGAACGCUGGCGGCGUGCCUAACACAUGCAAGUUGAGCGAUUUACUUCGGUAAAGAGCGGCGGACGGGUGAGUAACGCGUGGGUAACCUACCCUGUACACACGGAUAACAUACCGAAAGGUAUGCUAAUACGGGAUAAUAUAUUUGAGAGGCAUCUCUUAAAUAUCAAAGGUGAGCCAGUACAGGAUGGACCCGCGUCUGAUUAGCUAGUUGGUAAGGUAACGGCUUACCAAGGCGACGAUCAGUAGCCGACCUGAGAGGGUGAUCGGCCACAUUGGAACUGAGACACGGUCCAAACUCCUACGGGAGGCAGCAGUGGGG
Molecule: ribosomal RNA, 351 nt
Filed under: Clostridioides difficile
Lineage: Bacteria; Bacillati; Bacillota; Clostridia; Peptostreptococcales; Peptostreptococcaceae
Description: bacterial SSU rRNA
Rfam family: Bacterial small subunit ribosomal RNA
Source: RNAcentral